RNAcentral lists this unclassified non-coding RNA (347 nucleotides) under soil metagenome. RNAcentral's name for it is "partial contains 5.8S ribosomal RNA, internal transcribed spacer 2, and large subunit ribosomal RNA". The stretch from base 1 to 120 matches the Rfam family "5.8S ribosomal RNA", at positions 35 to 154 of the family's 154-position model. The record is from RNAcentral.
GAUGAAGAACGCAGCGAAAUGCGAUAACUAAUGUGAAUUGCAGAAUUCAGUGAAUCAUCGAGUCUUUGAACGCACAUUGCGCCCUCUGGUAUUCCGGAGGGCAUGCCUGUCCGAGCGUCAUUGCUGCCCUCCAGCCCGGCUGGUGUGUUGGGCCCCGUCCCCCUUCCCGGGGGGACGGGCCCGAAAGGCAGCGGCGGCACCGCGUCCGGUCCUCGAGCGUAUGGGGCUUUGUCACCCGCUCUUGUAGGCCCGGCCGGCGCCAGCCGACCCCCUCAAUCUAUUUUUCAGGUUGACCUCGGAGCAGGUAGGGAUACCCGCUGAACUUAAGCAUAUCAAUAAGCGGAGGA